RNAcentral lists this ribosomal RNA (253 nucleotides) under uncultured bacterium. RNAcentral's name for it is "partial 16S ribosomal RNA". It matches the Rfam family "Bacterial small subunit ribosomal RNA", at positions 524 to 776 of the family's 1533-position model. The record is from RNAcentral.
UACGUAGGUGGCAAGCGUUGUCCGGAAUUAUUGGGCGUAAAGCGCGCGCAGGCGGUCCUUUAAGUCUGAUGUGAAAGCCCACGGCUCAACCGUGGAGGGUCAUUGGAAACUGGGGGACUUGAGUACAGAAGAGAAGAGUGGAAUUCCACGUGUAGCGGUGAAAUGCGUAGAUAUCGGGAGGAACACCAGUGGCGAAGGCGACUACCUGGCCCAUUCUUGACGCUGAGGCGCGAAAGCUAGGGGAGCGAACGGG